GAUGAAGAACGUAGCGAAAUGCGAUAAGUAAUGUGAAUUGCAGAAUUCAGUGAAUCAUCGAAUCUUUGAACGCACAUUGCGCCCGCCAGUAUUCUGGCUGGCAUGCCUGUUCGAGCGUCAUUACAACCCUCAGGCCCCCGGGCCUGGCGUUGGGGAUCGGCGGAGCCCCCCGUGGGCACACGCCGUCCCCCAAAUGCAGUGGCGGUCCCGCCGCAGCUUCCAUCGCGUAGUAGCUAACACCUCGCGACUGGAGAGCGGCGCGGCCACGCCGUAAAACACCCAACUCUUCUGAAGUUGACCUCGAAUCAGGUAGGAAUACCCGCUGAACUUAAGCAUAUCAAUAAUCGGAGGA
Molecule: unclassified non-coding RNA, 352 nt
Filed under: soil metagenome
Description: partial contains 5.8S ribosomal RNA, internal transcribed spacer 2, and large subunit ribosomal RNA
Rfam family: 5.8S ribosomal RNA (bases 1-120)
Source: RNAcentral